This 548-nucleotide long non-coding RNA is filed under the name Bos taurus (domestic cattle). Its description in RNAcentral is "long non-coding RNA NONBTAT019103". The record is from RNAcentral. Lineage: Eukaryota; Metazoa; Chordata; Mammalia; Artiodactyla; Bovidae.
ACACAUUUCCUUACUAAAAAUAAACAUUAAAGGUCACUGCUUUUAUGGACUCGACUCUUGAGAGAUUUCCAAAAUGGAAACUCACUGAAAAUCUGGUCCUACUUUGUCCUAAUCGCGGGCUCUCCCAGCUGAUGACUCUCCACUGCAAAAAUGCACGUAGGCACGGAAGCUAUUUUCCAAAGAAUCUAAGCUGAAAGUUCAGUUGAACUGACUCUGUACCACCAUGGUGUUUAAGCAUGACUCAACCAACGGAUAAAGUUAAUGGAGUCAAAAAACGUAUAAGACUCUUGCCAAGGGUGCCAGUGAAAAGGAGUCCCUUCUGGAAGGACACUCAGAGAAAGCUUGGGACCUGUCCCCGAGGCUGCUGAGUGCUGUGUGUGACCCCGGACAGCUCAGUUGAGUGCCUCUCUCCCACCAGUGGCAGCAACACAGCGGGCUGCCCUAAUCACGGUGGCUGCAGCAGAAAGGCCCUAGAGUGGGCAGCGUUCUGGAGCAGCCAAGGUGAGGUUUGGGCAGAGACGAUGGAGAACAGGGAUUUCAGGCACGUG